This 468-nucleotide ribosomal RNA is filed under the name uncultured bacterium. Its description in RNAcentral is "partial 16S ribosomal RNA". It matches the Rfam family "Bacterial small subunit ribosomal RNA", at positions 28 to 507 of the family's 1533-position model. The record is from RNAcentral.
GACGAACGCUGGCGGCGUGCUUAACACAUGCAAGUCGAACGGAAAGGCCCUGCUUUUGUGGGGUGCUCGAGUGGCGAACGGGUGAGUAACACGUGAGUAACCUGCCCUUGACUUUGGGAUAACUUCAGGAAACUGGGGCUAAUACCGGAUAGGAGCUCCUGCUACAUGGUGGGGGUUGGAAAGUUUCGGCGGUUGGGGAUGGACUCGCGGCUUAUCAGCUUGUUGGUGGGGUAGUGGCUUACCAAGGCUUUGACGGGUAGCCGGCCUGAGAGGGUGACCGGCCACAUUGGGACUGAGAUACGGCCCAGACUCCUACGGGAGGCAGCAGUGGGGAAUAUUGCACAAUGGGCGGAAGCCUGAUGCAGCAACGCCGCGUGCGGGAUGACGGCCUUCGGGUUGUAAACCGCUUUCGCCUGUGACGAAGCGUGAGUGGCGGUAAUGGGUAAAGAAGCACCGGCUAACUACGUG